GACGAACGCUGGCGGCGUGCCUAAUACAUGCAAGUAGAACGCACAGUUUAUACCGUAGCUUGCUACACCAUAGACUGUGAGUUGCGAACGGGUGAGUAACGCGUAGGUAACCUGCCUGGUAGCGGGGGAUAACUAUUGGAAACGAUAGCUAAUACCGCAUAAUAUUAAUUAUUGCAUGAUAAUUAAUUGAAAGGUGCAAUUGCACCACUACCAGAUGGACCUGCGUUGUAUUAGCUAGUAGGUGAGGUAACGGCUCACCUAGGCGACGAUACAUAGCCGACCUGAGAGGGUGAUCGGCCCAACUGGGACUGAGAAACGGCCCAGACUCCUACGGGAGGCAGCAGUAGGGAAUCUUCGGCAAUGGACGAAAGUCUGACCGAGCAACGCCGCGUGAGUGAAGAAGGUUUUCGGAUCGUAAAGCUCUGUUGUAAGAGAAGAACGGGUGUGAGAGUGGAAAGUUCACACUGUGACGGUAUCUUACCAGAAAGGGACGGCUAACUACGUG
RNAcentral lists this ribosomal RNA (505 nucleotides) under uncultured bacterium. Its description in RNAcentral is "partial 16S ribosomal RNA". It matches the Rfam family "Bacterial small subunit ribosomal RNA", at positions 28 to 507 of the family's 1533-position model. The record is from RNAcentral.